RNAcentral lists this ribosomal RNA (405 nucleotides) under uncultured bacterium. Its description in RNAcentral is "bacterial SSU rRNA". It matches the Rfam family "Bacterial small subunit ribosomal RNA", at positions 954 to 1359 of the family's 1533-position model. The record is from RNAcentral.
GCUAAACGCGAAGAACCUUACCUGGCCUUGACAUCCUGAGAACCCUCCAGAGACGGAGGGGUGCCCUUCGGGGAACUCAGUGACAGGUGCUGCAUGGCUGUCGUCAGCUCGUGCCGUGAGAUGUUCGGUUAAGUCCGGCAACGAGCGCAACCCUCGCCAUUAGUUGCCAGCAGUUCGGCUGGGCACUCUAGUGGACUGCCUACGAAAGUAGGAGGAAGGCGGGGAUGAUGUCUAGUCAGCAUGGUCCUUACGGCCUGGGCGACACACGUGCUACAAUGGCCGGCACAGCGCGUAGCCACCUCGCGAGAGGGAGCCAAUCGCGAAAGCCGGUCCCAGUUCAGAUCGCAGUCUGCAACUCGACUGCGUGAAGUUGGAAUCGCUAGUAAUCGCGGAUCAGCCANGCCG